CGCGGGAGCGCGUGGCUCCGCAGCGAGGGAGCGUGCCGCCUUAGCGGUACAAUCGCGACCGAGACGCAGGACCAAAUCCUGCCCCCGCAACCA
Molecule: transfer RNA, 93 nt
Filed under: Candidatus Margulisiibacteriota bacterium
Lineage: Bacteria; Bacillati; Candidatus Margulisiibacteriota
Description: tRNA-OTHER
Source: RNAcentral